Molecule: small nuclear RNA, 86 nt
Filed under: Gorilla gorilla gorilla (western lowland gorilla)
Lineage: Eukaryota; Metazoa; Chordata; Mammalia; Primates; Hominidae
Source: RNAcentral
GUGCUCGCUUCAGCAGCACAUAUACUAAAAUUGGAAUGAUACGGAGAAGACUACCAUGGCCUCUGAGCAAGAAUGACACAAAAAUU